Molecule: ribosomal RNA, 408 nt
Filed under: uncultured bacterium
Lineage: Bacteria
Description: partial 16S ribosomal RNA
Rfam family: Bacterial small subunit ribosomal RNA
Source: RNAcentral
AGUGAACGCUGGCGGCGUGCCUAAUACAUGCAAGUCGAACGGAGUGGCGCGAGGGUGAGUAAUGUAGAGCUAAUCUGCACUACCAUAGAGGACAACAGUUGGAUACGGAUGCUAAUACUCUAAAGGUUAGGAUGAGGCUAAAUUGUAUCAGCUAAUUGGUGAUGUAAUGGCUCACCAAGGCUAUGACGCAUAACUGGGCUGAGAGAAUGAUCAGUCACACUGGCACUGAGACACGGUCCAGACUCCUACGGGAGGCAGCAGUAGUGAAUAUUGCGCAAUGGUGGAAAACCUGAAGCAGCAACGCCGCGUGGAGGAUGACACUUUUCGUAGCGUAAACUCCUUUUGUUAGGGAAGCGGUACCUAACUAAUAAGCACCGGCUAACUCCGGGCCAGCCGCCGCGGUAAUUC